CAAUAGCGUAUAUUAAAGUUGUUGCAGUUAAAAAGCUCGUAGUUGGAUUUGUGGCGUACGGUGUGUUCCGGGCACUUGUUGUCUGAGUAACCUGCUGUUGCCACCCUUGGGUGGAACCUGUGUGGCAUUAGGUUGUCGUGCAGGGGAUGCCCAUCAUUUACUGUGAAAAAAUUAGAGUGUUCAAAGCAGGCUUAUGCCGUUGAAUAUAUUAGCAUGGAAUAAUGAGAUAGGACUUUUUUGCUAUUUUGUUGGUUUGCGCAAGAAGGUAAUGAUUAAUAGGGACAGUUGGGGGUAUUCGUAUUCCAUUGUCAGAGGUGAAAUUCUUGGAUUUUUGGAAGACGAACUACUGCGAAAGCAUUUACCAAGGAUGUUUUCAUUAA
RNAcentral lists this ribosomal RNA (380 nucleotides) under uncultured eukaryote. RNAcentral's name for it is "partial 18S ribosomal RNA". It matches the Rfam family "Eukaryotic small subunit ribosomal RNA", at positions 592 to 976 of the family's 1831-position model. The record is from RNAcentral.